This is a long non-coding RNA of Acipenser ruthenus (sterlet), 354 nucleotides long. RefSeq lists it as uncharacterized. NCBI's taxonomy places the organism in Eukaryota, Metazoa, Chordata, Actinopteri, Acipenseriformes, Acipenseridae. The transcript has 3 exons. The record is from RefSeq and is a predicted model, not a curated record.
GUGCAUGCGCCCCCUUAAUGGCCGCCCCCAGCGCUCUGGAUCCAAAGACAAUGCCGCCAGCAUCCCGACCUCCCCGGCUCAAAGGAGGAGUGAGAGACCCAGGAGCUGCAGCCACAGAGCCAGCAAGAAAACCCUGAGCACUUUCCUUCACUGCACAAGCACAGCACAGACACAAGCACCACUUUCCUCGGGAAUUACAGAGCAUAGUUCAGUGCACAGAGGAUUGUUGUUUUGGAGUGUCAUUUGUUUGGGACUGCAACCCGCCGUAUUGGUUUCCCCUAUACCAUUGUUGAUAUAGGGUCAACCGGUUAUUAUUUCAUUUGUGUUAAUAAAUAUGGAAGUUUUUAAUUGGAA